GACGAACGCUGGCGGCGUGCUUAACACAUGCAAGUCGAGCGGUAAGGCCCUUUCGGGGUACGACGAGCGGCGAACGGGUGAGUAACACGUGGGUGACCUGCCCUCAGCUCUGGGAUAAGCCUGGGAAACCGGGUCUAAUACCGGAUAUGACUCCAUGACGCAUGUUGUGGGGUGGAAAGCCUUGUGCGGCUGAGGAUGGGCCCGCGGCCUAUCAGCUUGUUGGUGGGGUGAUGGCCUACCAAGGCGACGACGGGUAGCCGGCCUGAGAGGGCGACCGGCCACACUGGGACUGAGACACGGCCCAGACUCCUACGGGAGGCAGCAGUGGGGAAUCUUGCGCAAUGGGCGAAAGCCUGACGCAGCGACGCCGCGUGAGGGAUGACGGCCUGUGUAA
RNAcentral lists this ribosomal RNA (394 nucleotides) under uncultured bacterium. RNAcentral's name for it is "bacterial SSU rRNA". It matches the Rfam family "Bacterial small subunit ribosomal RNA", at positions 28 to 428 of the family's 1533-position model. The record is from RNAcentral.